Molecule: ribosomal RNA, 253 nt
Filed under: uncultured bacterium
Lineage: Bacteria
Description: partial 16S ribosomal RNA
Rfam family: Bacterial small subunit ribosomal RNA
Source: RNAcentral
UACGAAGGGGGCUAGCGUUGCUCGGAAUCACUGGGCGUAAAGCGCACGUAGGCGGCUUUCUAAGUCAGGGGUGAAAUCCUGGAGCUCAACUCCAGAACUGCCUUUGAUACUGAGGAUCUUGAGUUCGGGAGAGAUGAGUGGAGCUGCGAGUGUAGAGGUGAAAUUCGUAGAUAUUCGCAAGAACACCAGUGGCGAAGGCGGCUCACUGGCCCGAUACUGACGCUGAGGCACGAAAGCGUGGGGAGCAAACAGG